UACGGGGGGGGCAAGCGUUGUUCGGAAUUACUGGGCGUAAAGGGCUCGUAGGUGGCCAACUAAGUCAUGCGUGAAAUCCCUCGGCUUAACCGGGGAACUGCGUCUGAUACUGGAUGGCUUGAGUUUGGGAGAGGGAUGCGGAAUUCCAGGUGUAGCGGUGAAAUGCGUAGAUAUCUGGAGGAACACCGGUGGCGAAGGCGGCAUCCUGGACCGGUAUUGACACUGAGGCGCGAAAGCUAGGGGAGCGAACGGG
This 253-nucleotide ribosomal RNA is filed under the name uncultured bacterium. RNAcentral describes it as "partial 16S ribosomal RNA". It matches the Rfam family "Bacterial small subunit ribosomal RNA", at positions 524 to 776 of the family's 1533-position model. The record is from RNAcentral.